Molecule: non-coding RNA, 113 nt
Organism: Acanthosepion pharaonis
Lineage: Eukaryota; Metazoa; Mollusca; Cephalopoda; Sepiida; Sepiidae
Source: the annotation of a GenBank genome assembly
UUACGACCAUAUCAUGUUGAAACAUUGAUUCUCAUACGACCACCAAAGUUAAGCAACAUUGAGUCUGGUCAGUACCGAGAUGGGUGAUCGCUUGGGAAUACUUAGUACUGUAA